GAUGAACGCUGGCGGCGUGCCUAAUACAUGCAAGUCGAGCGAACAGACGAGGAGCUUGCUCCUCUGACGUUAGCGGCGGACGGGUGAGUAACACGUGGAUAACCUACCUAUAAGUCUGGGAUAACUUCGGGAAACCGGAGCUAAUACCGGAUAAUAUAUUGAACCGCAUGGUUCAAUAGUGAAAGACGGUUUUGCUGUCACUUAUAGAUGGAUCCGCGCCGCAUUAGCUAGUUGGUAAGGUAACGGCUUACCAAGGCAACGAUGCGUAGCCGACCUGAGAGGGUGAUCGGCCACACUGGAACUGAGACACGGUCCAGACUCCUAAGGGAGGCAGCAGUAGGGAAUCGUCCGCAAAGGGCGAAAGCCUGACGGAGCAACGCCGCGUGAGUGAUGAAGGUCUUCGGAUCGUAAAACUCUGUUAUUAGGGAAGAACAAAUGUGUAAGUAACUAUGCACGUCUUGACGGUACCUAAUCAGAAAGCCACGGCUAACUACGUG
RNAcentral lists this ribosomal RNA (497 nucleotides) under uncultured bacterium. Its description in RNAcentral is "partial 16S ribosomal RNA". It matches the Rfam family "Bacterial small subunit ribosomal RNA", at positions 28 to 507 of the family's 1533-position model. The record is from RNAcentral.